GCCGGUUUGGCUCAGUGGUUGAGCAUCAGCCUGGGGACUUGAAGGGUCCCAGGUUCAAUUCCUGGUCAGGGCA
This 73-nucleotide transfer RNA is filed under the name Myotis davidii. It matches the Rfam family "tRNA". From Rfam's summary of the family: Transfer RNA (tRNA) molecules are approximately 80 nucleotides in length. Their secondary structure includes four short double-helical elements and three loops (D, anti-codon, and T loops). Lineage: Eukaryota; Metazoa; Chordata; Mammalia; Chiroptera; Vespertilionidae. The record is from Rfam by way of RNAcentral.